UGGGGAAUAUUGCGCAAUGGGGGAAACCCUGACGCAGCGACGCCGCGUGUGGGAUGAAGGUCUUCGGAUUGUAAACCACUGUCGCGAGGGACGAAGCUCUGACGGUACCUCGAAAGGAAGCACCGGCUAACUCUGUGCCAGCAGCCGCGGUAAUACAGAGGGUGCGAGCGUUGUCCGGAAUCACUGGGCGUAAAGGGCGCGUAGGCGGCCCGGUAAGUAGGGGGUGAAAUCUCAUGGCUCAACUGUGAGGCUGCCUUCUAGACUGCCAGGCUUGAGCACAGUAGAGGCGAGUGGAAUUCCCGGUGUAGCAGUGAAAUGCGUAGAUAUGUGGAGGAAUACCGAUGGCGAAGGCAGCCCCCUGGGAUAACACUGACGCUCAUGCACGAAAGCGCGGGGAGCAAACAGGAUUAGAUACCCUAGUAGUCCCUGAGCGGGCUGGCAAGGCGCAU
RNAcentral lists this ribosomal RNA (449 nucleotides) under uncultured bacterium. Its description in RNAcentral is "bacterial SSU rRNA". It matches the Rfam family "Bacterial small subunit ribosomal RNA", at positions 355 to 825 of the family's 1533-position model. The record is from RNAcentral.